GUGACCUGGUGGAUGCUGCUGUCCUCUGUGUGAGGGAGGAAGCGAGGGAACUGUCAUGGCCCACGAGCCUGUUCACCUCCAGAAGUGGCUCCCAACCCCAGGCUCCUUCCAGCAAACCCUUGGAAAGGUCAUAGAGCCUGGCUGCCCCAGGCCUCGAGGGGAAGAGCGUGGGGGGCAGGAGGGUGGACAGGGCCCCUUGGGUCAUUCCGAGGGUUCAGGUUCACCUGGGAGGGUCUGCCCUGCGGAGAGGUAGGAGCCCCUGUGGCAGGAAGAAGGGACCCUCAGGGCUCCUAGCCAGGGCCGGGGGAGUGGCUCAAGUCGCGUGGAGACCGUGGGCUUGGGAUGCUCAGGAGUCGGGGACCGGGAGGGUCUGCAGGCUCACUGGCUGCGGGUGGAAAGUGAGGGCCGUGAGAGUGGCCUGAGCAGCUUGGUGGGGGCCGCAGGGGCCGGGUGGGCCUGGGGUGAGGUGAGGAGGCGACAGGGGAUGCAGCUGGAGUGCUGAGCUGCAGGGUUCCGUUUGAGGGACACGGGUCCCAUGGGAGCGUCCACUGGACUCAGGCGUCCAGGCAGUGAUGCCUUGCGCUUGGCUCUAGCCCUGGGUGCCUGGACAAACAGGGGCCUUUCCAGGCAGGGCGCUGUGGUGCAGACAAGGGCAGCCAACUGCGUGACAAGGAGGACAGCCACAGGGCAGCAGAGAGGAAGUGAGAGCUUGUGGGAGAGGUCAUGUCUGGUGUGGGAGCGAGCGGGUUCCCCUCAACCCAGGAGUGGGCCUCAGGGCACAGGGCACAGGGCACAGGUGUGUUCACAGCCUGGCUGGGCGGCACCCUCUCUGCCCAGCGCCCCUGCAGGACCACAGCCGCCCUGGUGGGACCAGCACAGGUGCCGGGCAGAGGGAAGCAGAGGAGCCCCUGAUGUCUCGCUGCUGUCGUCCGUCUGUCCAUGCUGGGCUGCAGCUGGUGUGACCUCCACUGUGCUCUUGUUUUUGUUCGUGGCAGCAGCCGCUCCAGACAGCCUGCCCCCGCUGCAGCGGGGAGGUACCACCAGGACUACACACUGCAUGGAGCUGGCAGGAGCCCUGCCCCUUCCGAGCUGCAAGCCUGCAACUUUUGCAGCCACCCAAGUUGUAACUGCAGAUCUGAGUCUUCCUGUGGUCUUCCAGGGCAAGCAGGUAGGAGCCCUGCUCUCCCGGGUGCCACUGCAGCCACCCAAACUGUGGCUGCAGCUUCAGGCAUCCCUCCACUCUUGGGGGCCUGGGAAGGCCCCCCCUGCCCCCACUGCCUGGCUUCUCCCUGCUGUUGGCUGUCAACACCCACUCUGAUCUCGGAGCAAAGUUGGGCUGAGCAGGGGCCAUGAAUGGCAGUGGGAGGCAGAUUCCUGGGCAGAAGCCGGCGGGUACCCGAUAAGACCCCACUUUCAGACCAGGGAGAGCCUGAAGGCUGAAGGCCGGGCUGCCAGAUCCACAGACCAGAGUGGGGACUUGUGGUACCUUUUCUGGGUGCCCAUGCACCAAUCGGCAUGCAUUUCCUCCUCUCUGAGGUCCACAAACACCCCAGGCUCAACCAGAGCAAGGCAGAGGAUGGAGAAGCAACCGGAGACUAGAUGACCAGCUGCAGAGGAGCUACCCUCUCUGCUGAGAGCUGGGAAGUCAACAGGGACCUGCCUGCAGAGUGGAGCCACCCACUCCAGGGCCUCCGGGGCCUCCUCUCUACAGAGAGCUGAACGCUGGAGGAGAUGACCUGCCUACAGAGAGGAACUGCCCACUGUGGGUCUCCUCCCAGCUGUCCUAAGAUUCAAUAAAGCUUUUCUUUGUCUUGCUCACUCUCCACUUGUCUGUGUGCCUCAUUCUUCCUGGACACAGGACAAAAACUCAGGCAAAGGUUGGGAUUACAGGCGUGAGCCACUGCGCCCGGCCCAAUACUUUGACUUUGCUGCAAUGCAUUCUACUUUCUGUAUCAUUUAUUUUUAUUUUUAUUUUAUUAUUAUUUUUUGAGACAGAGUCUCACUCUGUCCCCCAGGCUGGAGUACAGUGGUGCAAUAUUGGCUCACUGCAACCUCCGCCUCCUGAGUUCAAACAGUUCUCCUGCCUCAGCCUCCCAAGUAGCUGGGACUACAGGUACACGCCACCAUGCCCGGCUAAUUUUUGUGUUUUUAGUAGAGACUGGGUUUCGCCAUGUUGGCCAGGAUGGUCUUGAACUCCUGAUCUCAAGUGAUCCACCUGCCUUGGCCUCCCAAAGUGUUGAGAUUACUGGCGUGAGCCACCAUGCCUGGCCCAGUACCCUGACUUUGAUGCAAUGCAUUCAACUUCCUGUAUCAUUUAAAUGUAGUGGAAUUGUUAUAAAGAUGAAUGUUAUACCUCCUAGUUUUCUGGAUAAUGUUCUCCGUAAGUUUUAUACGUUGACCACAAUGCCAAUUAUAGUUAAAGGCAAGCUUGUUUCUCAUAAACUAUGUGACUUCAAGUUAAUUACUUGGCUUCUUUGAGCCCCAGAGCCUGAAUUUGUUAUAUGAUAGGGUCAGAAUCCUCUGUCUCUGAAAUUCUUUUCAACUCUAGUUGUGGUCAUUCUAUAUUUUAGUCAACGGUUAAAU
Macaca nemestrina (pig-tailed macaque) is the source of this 2583-nucleotide long non-coding RNA. The record is from Ensembl. Lineage: Eukaryota; Metazoa; Chordata; Mammalia; Primates; Cercopithecidae.